Molecule: ribosomal RNA, 471 nt
Filed under: uncultured organism
Description: partial 16S ribosomal RNA
Rfam family: Bacterial small subunit ribosomal RNA
Source: RNAcentral
CACUCCUACGGGAGGCAGCAGUGGGGAAUUUUGGACAAUGGGCGAAAGCCUGAUCCAGCAAUGCCGCGUGAGUGAAGAAGGCCUUCGGGUUGUAAAGCUCUUUUGUCAGGGAAGAAACGGUGAAAGCUAAUAUCUUUUGCUAAUGACGGUACCUGAAGAAUAAGCACCGGCUAACUACGUGCCAGCAGCCGCGGUAAUACGUAGGGUGCAAGCGUUAAUCGGAAUUACUGGGCGUAAAGCGUGCGCAGGCGGUUUUGUAAGUCUGAUGUGAAAUCCCCGGGCUCAACCUGGGAAUUGCAUUGGAGACUGCAAGGCUAGAAUCUGGCAGAGGGGGGUAGAAUUCCACGUGUAGCAGUGAAAUGCGUAGAUAUGUGGAGGAACACCGAUGGCGAAGGCAGCCCCCUGGGUCAAGAUUGACGCUCAUGCACGAAAGCGUGGGGAGCAAACAGGAUUAGAUACCCUGGUAGUCCC